GUGGGGAAUAUUGGACAAUGGGCGCAAGCCUGAUCCAGCAAUGCCGCGUGCAGGAAGAAGGCCUUCGGGUUGUAAACUGCUUUUGUACGGAACGAAACGGUCCGGGUUAAUACCCUGGGCUAAUGACGGUACCGUAAGAAUAAGCACCGGCUAACUACGUGCCAGCAGCCGCGGUAAUACGUAGGGUGCAAGCGUUAAUCGUAAUUACUGGGCGUAAAGCGUGCGCAGGCGGUUUUGUAAGACAGGCGUGAAAUCCCCGGGCUCAACCUGGGAAUUGCGCUUGUGACUGCAAGGCUGGAGUGCGGCAGAGGGAGAUGGAAUUCCGCGUGUAGCAGUGAAAUGCGUAGAUAUGCGGAGGAACACCGAUGGCGAAGGCAAUCCCCUGGGCCUGCACUGACGCUCAUGCACGAAAGCGUGGGGAGCAAACAGGAUUAGAUACCCCAGUAGUCC
Molecule: ribosomal RNA, 450 nt
Filed under: uncultured bacterium
Lineage: Bacteria
Description: partial 16S ribosomal RNA
Rfam family: Bacterial small subunit ribosomal RNA
Source: RNAcentral